UACGGGGGGGGCAAGCGUUGUUCGGAAUUACUGGGCGUAAAGGGCUCGUAGGCGGCCAACUAAGUCAUACGUGAAAUCCCUCGGCUUAACCGGGAACUGCGUCUGAUACUGGAUGGCUUGAGAUUGGGAGAGGGAUGCGGAAUUCCAGGUGUAGCGGUGAAAUGCGUAGAUAUCUGGAGGAACACCGGUGGCGAAGGCGGCAUCCUGGACCAACACUGACGCUGAGGAGCGAAAAGCCAGGGGAGCAAACGGG
Molecule: ribosomal RNA, 253 nt
Filed under: uncultured bacterium
Lineage: Bacteria
Description: partial 16S ribosomal RNA
Rfam family: Bacterial small subunit ribosomal RNA
Source: RNAcentral